RNAcentral lists this ribosomal RNA (429 nucleotides) under Chloroflexota bacterium. RNAcentral describes it as "Chloroflexi bacterium partial 16S ribosomal RNA". It matches the Rfam family "Bacterial small subunit ribosomal RNA", at positions 355 to 776 of the family's 1533-position model. Lineage: Bacteria; Bacillati; Chloroflexota. The record is from RNAcentral.
UGGGGAAUAUUGCACAAUGGGCGCAAGCCUGAUGCAGCCAUGCCGCGUGUGUGAAGAAGGCCUUCGGGUUGUAAAGCACUUUCAGCGGGGAGGAAGGCGUUAAGGUUAAUAACCUUGGCGAUUGACGUUACCCGCAGAAGAAGCACCGGCUAACUCCGUGCCAGCAGCCGCGGUAAUACGGAGGGUGCAAGCGUUAAUCGGAAUUACUGGGCGUAAAGCGCACGCAGGCGGUCUGUCAAGUCGGAUGUGAAAUCCCCGGGCUCAACCUGGGAACUGCAUUCGAAACUGGCAGGCUAGAGUCUUGUAGAGGGGGGUAGAAUUCCAGGUGUAGCGGUGAAAUGCGUAGAGAUCUGGAGGAAUACCGGUGGCGAAGGCGACCCCCUGGACAAAGACUGACGCUCAGGUGCGAAAGCGUGGGGAGCAAACAGG